Long non-coding RNA from Sceloporus undulatus (fence lizard), 412 nucleotides. RefSeq lists it as uncharacterized. The record is from RefSeq and is a predicted model, not a curated record. The transcript is spliced from 4 exons. Lineage: Eukaryota; Metazoa; Chordata; Lepidosauria; Squamata; Phrynosomatidae.
CGACAGACUAGGCCGCGGGGCCUUUUCUUCCUUCGGAACCUACCUUUAGGCCUGGACUACUUAUUUAUUGACAGUAAAAACAACUCCAGAACCACGAAGGAUCUUUGUUGAGGACAGUGUCUCCAUUGGAGCAGCCUCCCCCUUUGACGGUUGCUCUCAAGGAGGUACUCCUGUAUCCCCAGGAUGUUUCAGAACUGUCAGCUCCAGCAUCCCCAAAAGAAGUGAACAUCUGUUGCUCGGAGUCAGAGGAGGCUGAAUGUAACCCUGGCUCUUUGCUGAACAAGGAGGGUGUGCAUCGCGUGUUCCAGGAGUUGUCCAAUUUCUCCCCUGAAAUGAAGGAGACCAUUGCAGACACUAAUGCCCUGAUGCAUUUGGAUAUCCUCAGAGAGCAUUUUUUUAAACCACCAGAAAG